ACAUGGAACAGACCCAAGCCAAGCCCAGCUGAGUUCAGCCAACCUGUGGACCCAAGAGUAAAAAGAAAGAUAUGUCUGCUGUAAGCCACUGAGAUCUGGGGAUUAUUUGUUACAUAGCCAUGUCACAGCCACGCCUGACUAAUGAGUGUUCAUGAUUUUCUUUACAUGGAACCGCUCUAAUACUUGGAUCUGAGAUGCUCACUCUGAUGCAUAUCACUGAAGAAUUGAGGUCUAAGAAGCAGUCUUUUCCCCUUCAGACUUCUUUCCAUGGCCUCUUCCCAGAAUGUGCAUCUCCUACAUUUUCAGGACAGUUAAUCGCAUUGAAAAAUUCUGUCCAACAAGCCACUCUACAGACUCUCAGCCCUGCCAGUGCCUGACAAGGGCUAUUCUUGUUGUGGGAGGACCUCAGCUUUAUGGGGAGGAUGAUGGGGCUGAAGCUCAGAGAGACAGAGGGGCCUACGAAGCUGCAGCAGCAGGAGCAGAAAGCACAGCCGUAGGGCCUUCUGGAAAGAACAGAGAAGAGGAGCGGCCCUAUGCUGGCGCCGCACGAGGACAUCGUAAACCUGAACCAGGAUGUUCUUUGUGAUGACAGGGUAAUGCGGAGGUGGACGGAGUUGUUGGUAUGAGGGAUCAAGCUGUUCUAUUCAGGAGGGAAUGAAGAGUGAUGAGAAGAGAUGCUGCUCAAGCUGCUCAGAGCCUAGAGGGGGGGCCUGAGACCUUAAAGAAGCAGACAGAAGGAGGAAGGGAGGAUCACGGGCCUUUCGUCAGUUCUACACGGUGUCACUUUAGGGCAGAUUUCACGUGGGUGGCAGAGCUGAGCCUUUGCCGCGUGUUCCAGCUCCCAACUCCAUCCCUUUCUGGAUUCCCUGCUGGACACGUUCUUUCCUCUGGGACUAGCACACUUGGAUUUGGCUCAGUUCCUUCUGGAAGCUGAAGAUGAGCAGGAAGGAAGGAUCACGGGCCUUUCGUCGGUUCUACACGAUGUCACUUUACGGCAGAUUUCACGUGGGUGGCAGAGCUGAGCCUUUGCCGCGUGUUCCAGCUCCCAACUCCAUCCCUUUCUGGAUUCCCUGCUGGACACGUUCUUUCCUCUGGGACUAGCACACUUGGAUUUGGCUCAGUUCCUUCUGGAAGCUGAAGAUGAGCAGGUAAGUUCCCUUUCCACUUCUGGGCAUUUACCUGGUCCUGGAUAGUUGUGACCCAGUGCUCAGUCUGGCAUUUUUGGUUUGCCUGCUCAGGUUUCUUUUUGUGUUUGAUGUUGAGAUUUUGAAGUUUGCCUUUUCUGUGCCGGUGAGUCUAGUGUCCUGGGUCUGGCAUUCCCGAGCCUAACUUCAAAUACACAGGCUACCUUCUUCUCCUGCUUCUUUUCCAAGCAUGGCUUAUUAAUUCAGCUGAACAAUGUUGUUGCUAUUUCUAUUGACUGUAAGGUGAUGUGAGAGGCGGGGCUAUGGUGAUAAGGGGGUGGAGCCAUGGUGAUGAGGGAGAUGGAAAAGUCAAGAGAUUGAAAAGUCAAGAGUUGAGUCUCAUCCUUGCUCUUACGUCUCCUGAAAUUCUGGAUCAAGACCCUCAGAGUGUAGUAGUAACCAGCCUGAAAGUGCCUGUUACUCUUUUGAAAACCAUCGGCAUUGUUUUGGGGCCUGCCAGACUCUGAGGUCCUCGGGGGAGGCAGACACACAAUCUCACUGCUGACUGCCAGGGGUAUCCCAGGAAUGCAUCUCCANUUUUUUUUUUUUUUUUUUUUUUUUUUUUUUAGAAUGUAAAACAUAUUUUCUUGUGCAUGGCAGUUCUAUGAAAACUGAUUAAGAUUCUUGACUGUUCUUCAAAAUCUUUUAAAAUGCUAGGAAGUAAGUAAACAGGAGUUUGUUAAAUUAUUUUCUGUUUUUGUUUUUUCUGGUAUGUUUGAAAUAUUUCAUAUGUAAAAAUAAAAUAAUUCAAUUUAAUGCAUAGUAUUCUGACCUCCGUGCAUCCUGGGAAGAGGGUCAAUAGAGAUGAGGGAGGGGAAGUUAAGGAAGGAAGACAAUUCUCUUUCUCUUGAUUUGUUUUGGGCACAACUUUGAAACAGGGUAGCUAUGUCCUUGGCUUUUUCAUGCUUUCCCUUCUGCAACCUCACCUGCCUCUCACUUCAUCCAGGGUGACAGUCCCAUUCCAGGCAGCCCUUGAACACUGUACUUUCCAAAUGUUCUCUGCCUUCAAAAUUGGGGUGUGGCUAGAAGUGUUUCGAAAGUGCUUCAAUUAUCUAUUGAUGCUCAAUAAAUUGUCUUGAAAUGUGGUGUCUUAAAACAGCUAUUUUAUUUGGUCACACCCUAUGGGUCAGGGAAGUAGGAUAGGGCAUAUGGGGAUAGAUGGUUGACAGUCUGUGUGUGAUCCAUGAUGUCUGGUCAGGAAAAGUUUAACAUUGAACAUAGUGAUUAGGAAUGUGGGGAUGUGGGAUCAGAUUGCUGGGGCCCAAAUCCUAGUUUUUCCAUGUAUUAGCUGAUGAAAUAAUGAUAAUCAUAGCCACUAACCUCAUAUGAGUAUUGUCUUCAAGUUGACUUUCAGGUGCAUUCUAGUAUUUAGUCUAGAUUGCCCAACUCUGCUGAUAAUGGUGGUAUUGUUAUAUUAUCAUUGCCAUUUACACUUAACCUUGAAAACUCAGCCUAGGCAUAUACAGGCAAGUUCUGGGGUUAGGCUGUUAAGGUCUCACAUGGGAAGGAUAGGCAUUUUGUCCUGUAGACAAAGAGGAAUUUCCAGCUGGGGAAUGACAGGAUCAAGCCCCUUCUCCCUCCCUUGUUCCUGCUCCCUCUGCCCUUUCUUCCUCAUUUCCUCUUCUCUCCCCACUUUAAAACGAUGACAGUAUGUUCAAGUUGUGCAAAUCAAAGGAAUAGAUUAGAAACAGGAGAAUAAAUGUGCUUAGCAGACCCAGGAAAUCUCCAGGGGAUUGGAAUUGAUUACCCAGCAUGUAAUAUACAAAACCAUCAUUUUUCUGCAUGUGGUGAACAAUGGAAGUGAAGUAACUCCCCACUCCAGUCCCCCUAAUCUGAUGGAAUUUUCUCAGUAAUGUUGUGGAGUCAUAGGGGUGAGCAUGCACCAACUGGGCCAAUUCCCACUGGCCUUUAUUUUCUGGAAGGGUUGGCAGCAGAGGAAGACCAGAACCUUUUCCAGUGCACAUACCUACUUUAAUUUGGAGAGGAUUCUGCGUGUCCUGGGAGAUGCUGCGACCUUGGGAAGUUGUGUGGAUGAAAAGAUACAUGCUUUAUAUCAGAGACUUAAAAAAUAUAUCCUGUUAUCUUUCGCCAUGUAAGGAAGGACUUUACAUGGGAUCUGUGUGAACCCCAUAUGGUCCCAUUGUCAUCUGGGGUGGUCCUGGUAUUGGACUUCACUGGAUCCAACAGGGCCAAAUUUACUUCAGUAAUUGGAAAAUCUUGACUGUAUGAUGGGUGCAGGUUGGAGAAUGUUAGGCAGUCAUAAGCUUCAGAGUUUGUUUUGUAGUUCCUUUUAGUUUCAGUUGAGAUUGGCCAUAAGAACUUCGCUUUUCAUGGGUUCAAGUAACCAUGGGGCUGAAUUUCACUUAGUUCUCAUCUUUUUUUUUGAUUCUGAAGGUUGGAUUUAUUUGAAUAAAGGGACAAGGGUAACAUGAGCUGCCAACCUAUAUGACGUUUUUGUAUGUAGUAGAAAAAAGCACUCUUUUAUGGCAUAUGUAGCACAUCAGAGUCAUGACUUAGGAGCAAGCAUGGCUAUAUUUUAGCCCCCUAGUUAUCUCCUGAAGGGAGAGUCUAUGCAGUGCCCAACUCACACGUCCAAAUGUGGCAGCCUUGUGUGAAGGGAAAGUAUAUAAUAAUAGGCUGACUUAGUAAUUCAGAAGUGUGCCUGAGCUUGGGACAUCCUUUCUGAUUCAGUAGGUUUUGAUUAGUGGCUUAGAGUUUCUGAUUUAGUAGGUCUGAGGUAGGGCCCAAGAAUUUGGAUUUCUAGUAGGUUCCUAAGUGAUGCCAGUAACCCUGGCCUGGGAGUUACAUUUCGAGCACCACUUCUGUGGGGUAUAAUUCCAUGACCCAGAUUUCCUCACUUCCAGGUGCUAGUUACCUGAUUUGCUCAUCAAACUCAAAUAUGCUUCUUUAUACAGUGGUGUAGGUUGGUCCCAAAUAUAUGGCUUCACUGAAACUUUCUGGAAGAGGAUUCUUCUAGCUGUUUUCCUAGCACUUACUUCCCUGUACUCUAGGAGGCCAUUGAUAAAUUUGGGUCUGUGGCACCUCAACCAGCUCAGCCAUCAGCAUCAGAGUAGAGUUGAACCAGUUCUCCUUUUCUAGACCCUUUGUAUCCUUCAUAAUUCUCUCCUGGAGUAUUGCUUCUUGGACUCAAAUGUCGCGUGCUUGAUUUUAGUCUAGAGAUUUAUUUUUAUAUAGUCUGGAGAAAACACUGCUAUUUUUGUCAUCUAAGUGCAAAAAACAAAACAAAACUUAGUGUACUAGGAAAUUAUGCAGAGACAGUUUAAUACUUGGACAACUUAAAACAUGUGUGCACAUGCACAGGGGCUUUCUCAGAGACAUCACUGAGUGAAUAAUAGGCUGCCUGGGCCCUUACAGCAGAGCCAAUGAAAUUUAGUUUUGCUCGAGUUUGGUUAUUGGUGUUAUGAUGCUCCCUCUGGGCCAUCAAGGAGUGAAACUGGGGCGCUCAUUUUUGGAGCUGUUGAAGUUUCAAGCUCCUUUGAGGUAUUGGCAGUGGGCUUGGCAUGCUUUCAGAUGUGGAUGGCUUUCCCACUAAUACCUCACAGGCCCAUGGGACAUUUUUUUAAAAGUUUGAGCACCAAGUCAACCCAUCUCCUUAGUGGCAGUAGUUGCUUUAUCUGUGAGAAUAACUGUCCUUCUUAGCUUCUCAAUUUGUCACCUGUGCAGUGAUUUAUUACCUUCCAAAGCUGCAGUAAUUAUAUAAUGAUGCAAAAAUAAUGACAAGCCAUUCUGAUAAACUUUAUUACCUGUAGCAUCUUGUAUUCAAACUGCAUUCUAGCACACUCUGUAGGAUUACCAAGCACCCCUACAUGUGUGACAGCCAGCAGGGAGGGCGGCUUCUCAGGUCUGAGAGGAAAAGAGGAAAAGAAACAGGAUUCAAGCUUCCUGAACAGAGGCUGGGAAGAAUUGGGUUGGGGUGAGUUGAUUCCCAUUUGGGGCACAGGCCAAAUGGACUUAUCUCCAUUUAUAUCCCAACAAUUCAGUAUUUACUUGCCUAUUUUAAAUUGGGGCUAUAGAAUUGGCUCUUUAAACAAUCUUCAAUGAAAUAUAUAGUCAAAAGAAUGUAUAUAAAUGAUGUGCAGUUGAACUCUUAUUUUUAUCUUGAACCCGCACCUUUAGAGCCUCUCCUUUUUAUCAGAUGACAAAGUUUCCCCUGGAGCUGUGUUGCGAGGCACUGUCCAGUGUUCUAGUCUUGAGAGUGAAGGACUCAAGAAGGCUGACUUACAAAGUAACUUUCAGAUUUGCUUCUCAUUUUGGAAAAAUAUCUGAACUUAAAAUAUCUUUCAUGGGGAGUUGAGAACUGAGAUACAAAAUCAUAAUGUGGCUGGUAAGAGAGUUCUUUUAGUAAAUGCAGCUUGCCUAAUUUGGGUCUGUGGUUGGAGGGUCAGGUCUUCAAUUAUUUUCCUGAACCGAGGAGUAAUGAAGUCCCUAUAGCUGACUGUGGAGGCCAGGAUAAUGGAUAGGGGUCCUGUGCUGUCUUCCAUCUCCUUCCUGAUGACCAGCCAGUGACCUCAGGCAAUGCUUGUUUCUUUUAUGAUGGAUUCUCCUGGGAUUGUACCAGGGGGCUUAGGCCAGGCCUGUGUCCAGAGUUGGGCGGAGGUGCUUAAAAAUGAGGAAAAGUCAUGAUUAUAUCAGAGUACAGAUGAUUCCAGUACUACCAGUGCCCACAUUUCUCAUCUUGACAGGCUCUUAGUUGGAUUACAUUUCCUAGCCUCUUUUAUAGUUAGAUGGGAACAUGUGACCUAUUCUGACCAAUAGAAUGUAGGUAUUUCCAGGACCGGCCAUAAAUCUCCCAAGCGUGGCUCUCCCUUCUCUUUUUCUACCGCCUGACACCAGAGAAGGACUAUGUAAGACAGAAGAACUGUAGAUGGAAGUGGCCUUAGAAGUUGAGUUACUUCUUAAAGGAGAGACUCCUAGGAGUCCACAGAACUGUAAUGUGAAAGAGAAAUCUUUUUUUGUGUUAAAACAUUGAAGUUCCAGGGUCAACUUGUUAGUCUAGCAUAAUUUACCCUGUUCUGACUUCUUGGCUCUGAGAAUCUGUGGAUGAGGUUAUUCCUAUGCCCACAACUAUGCCUAGGCCUCCUGAAAUCUGGCCCAGGUCUUUCUAGGGUCACAUCUGCUAGGGGUUGAAUUGGAGCUGUAGCUGCCAGGCCACAGCAACGCUGGGUCCCUAACCCACUGAGAAAGGCCACGGAUUUAACCCACAUCCUCAUGGAUACUAGUGGCGUUCAUUAUGGCCUAGGUCUUUCUGAUUGGCCAAGGCUGUGCUUUCUUCUUCUGAGUUCUCAAAAUUGGGAAGUAUCUCAGCAUGAGAAUGGUGAUUUGAACCCUGGAGAGUCCAGAUCUGUAGAUGCUGUCAGGGAGGUGGUGGUUUCAAGGCAAGGGCUAGGCAGGGCUUCUCAGUCUUGGCACUAUUGACAGUGGGGCCGGAUGGUUCUUAGUGGUGGGGACAGACUGGACAUUGUGAGAUGCUUAGCAGCAUCCCUGCUAGAUACCAAUAGUGCUUUCCACCUCCCUACAAAUUAUGACCAUCAAAAUAUCUCAAGACGUUAUUAAAGGUCCCUGGGGGAAGGGGGAAAAUCACCCUUAGUUGAGAACCACUGGUCUAGACAAAGGCAAAUCCCCAGCUUUAGACCUCAGGAGCACGAGUUUUCCUCUCUGCUUUUCCCUACUUCAUAUCAUGGAUUGAAGCAGUCUUUGUUUCCUCAUAAUACAUGAGGACCAGAGCUGGCGUUUUUUGCCAUUUGAGACUCUCCAGGAGUGGAGCACAUCAUCUCCACUGGCUUCCUUCCUUCCCUCAUAUUAGUAUCUGUAGCUGCAAAACAAAUUCCUUCAAAACUUAGUGGCUUAAAGCAACAAUAACUUACUAUAUUGCAGUUUCUGUGGGUCGGGAAUUUACGAAUAGCUUUGGUGGGUAGCUCUGGCCGAGGGUCUCACAUGUGGUUGCAGUCAAAAUGUUGGCGGCAGUCCAGUCCUCUGAAAGCUUGAUUGGGGAUGGAGAAAUUUGUUUCCAAAAUGGUCCCUCAGGUGGUUGUGGGCAGGAGACCUCAGUUCCUCACCAUGUAGGCUUCUGCAAAGUCUUCCUGGGCAUCCUUACAACGUGACAGCUGAUAAGAGCAAGUGGUUCAAUAGAAAGAGAAAAUGAGGAAGAAGCCUUGGGAUCUUUUAUGAUCUGAAGUCACACGCCACCACUUCUGCUUUUCUAUAGUCACUCAAAGCAAAUCACUAAGUUGGGCACCUGUUCCAGAGAAGGAGAAUUGGCCUCCACCUCUUGGAGGGAGGAGUGAAAAAGGAUGUGUGGACAUAUUUUGAAACUAUCACAUCCAGUACCAAGCUUUCUUUGCUUAGCUACACUGGGCUACUCUCCAACCCUUGACACAUGAGGUGUAUUCUUAGAUUUUGAACUCCCCCUACAGUACUUUUGCCCCAUCUUCCAGAUUUCCAAUUCUCACUGGACUGUAGCCUUACCCAGGAGUUACCUUUGGAAAAGAUCUGAUGAACUCAUUCAGGCAGGUUGUAAAAUAAAAAAAAAAAAAAAAAA
RNAcentral lists this long non-coding RNA (7743 nucleotides) under Sus scrofa (pig). RNAcentral describes it as "lncRNA (ENSSSCG00040030463.1)". The record is from RNAcentral. Lineage: Eukaryota; Metazoa; Chordata; Mammalia; Artiodactyla; Suidae.